RNAcentral lists this ribosomal RNA (519 nucleotides) under uncultured bacterium. RNAcentral's name for it is "bacterial SSU rRNA". It matches the Rfam family "Bacterial small subunit ribosomal RNA", at positions 989 to 1509 of the family's 1533-position model. The record is from RNAcentral.
CUAAGAACUUUCCAGAGAUGGAUUGGUGCCUUCGGGAACUUAGAUACAGGUGCUGCAUGGCUGUCGUCAGCUCGUGUCGUGAGAUGUUGGGUUAAGUCCCGCAACGAGCGCAACCUUUUCCUAUUUGCCAGCGGGUCAUGCCGGGAACUUUAAGGAUACUGCCAGUGACGAACUGGAGGAAGGCGGGGACGACGUCAAGUCAUCAUGGCCCUUACGGCCAGGGCUACACACGUGCUACAAUGGUCGGUACAAAGGGUUGCUACCUCGCGAGAGGAUGCUAAUCUCAAAAAGCCGAUCGUAGUCCGGAUCGCAGUCUGCAACUCGACUGCGUGAAGUCGGAAUCGCUAGUAAUCGCGGAUCAGAAUGCCGCGGUGAAUACGUUCCCGGGCCUUGUACACACCGCCCGUCACACCAUGGGAGUUUGUUGCACCAGAAGUAGGUAGUCUAACCGCAAGGAGGACGCUUACCACGGUGUGGCCGAUGACUGGGGUGAAGUCGUAACAAGGUAGGCGUAGAUGA